Physella acuta is the source of this 1158-nucleotide long non-coding RNA. RefSeq lists it as uncharacterized. NCBI's taxonomy places the organism in Eukaryota, Metazoa, Mollusca, Gastropoda, Physidae. The record is from RefSeq and is a predicted model, not a curated record.
GUUCCAACCUAGAUUUUGCUGUCUGCAAUCUUUACGGUUUGGAGUGUGGUACCAUAAUCAUACCUUUGUCGCGUGCUAGGAUUCAGUUUGUUAAAAUACUACCUUAAAAAUAUUUUAGACCUCUCACAUUAAAAAAAACACGGUUAUAAGUUUUCUAAAAAUGCUAUAGUAUUUUUUGAAAUAAUUCUACCAAGACCAUGUUAUUUACCACACUCACCCCGCGCCGCCAUUAGCAACCAGUUGCAGAUCAUGGACAUGCAAACAGUGCUACCAGUCCACAGCUCGAGCAGAGUACUGACACAGAAAAACACGUUUCACUUGAAAUUACGUUAAAACAGUUAAAUGAAUUUGGCAAAAAUGAGCUUUAAAAGUAAAUUGUUGUAAGUUGCUGGAUGACCAGUUUGUCUGCUACACACCAUUGCCCUCUACCUCCGAGCCAUACAUUGAAACAAACUUUCCUUAGACAUUAUGUCCGCAACAACCGAACCAUGCUCCACGGAAACAUUAGCGUCGCAAGUGAGUGUAUUUAUUUCUAAUAAAACUUCCUCGGACGACAGAUCAAGAUCCAUUACGUCACUGAACUGCUCAAAUUGUGACAGGAACAUUGCUACGCAGCCCUUAACCGGUGGUGAAAAUGUUGUACGGAACUACCAUACUUCACCUCACUACAUGCCCCUAGCACUUAUCGCCAUGAUUUUGAAUCCGCUUCUUGGCAUUCCCGCGUCAGUCUGUAGCUGUAUUUCUAGUCGAUACAGAAAAUCUGGUGACUCCAUCCGGUCGUCUAAGUACAGCGAGCUAGCAUUGUGGCUCAGCAUAAUCGCUAUUGCAUCUUCGUUAGUCAUCAUCAUCUUCGUCUUGGUGUACGCAUUUAUCAUUACACCCAACAUUAUACUCAAUAUUAAUGGUGAUGUCAACGAAAGCUUUGUGCUAGCGGACGAAGUGUCGUAUGCGACAAGCUCACCGUGAGCAUUUAAUUUGAUUAAUUUUGUAAACGGCAACUUUUAUUGUUAAAAACAUUGUUUUGAUUCUUAAAAAAGAAAAGGAAAAUGAUAUCCAGUAAUAGAAUCUAAGAGCCACAGGAGUCUACAAUUUCACCAAUAAGGAAAUUCCAUUAUUUCUGAAUUUUCACACUGUAAAAUUAAAAUUCAGACUAUUAAA